This is a long non-coding RNA of Tribolium castaneum (red flour beetle), 674 nucleotides long. RefSeq lists it as uncharacterized. The record is from RefSeq and is a predicted model, not a curated record. The transcript has 2 exons. NCBI's taxonomy places the organism in Eukaryota, Metazoa, Arthropoda, Insecta, Coleoptera, Tenebrionidae.
GUUAAUUUCCUACUGUGAUUCAUUAAGAGAAAAACCAUGAUUUAAUUGAGCGCGCCUACUUAGCGGUAAUAAAAUCGAUUUAUAAACGCAAAACGAUAUCUCGUUACCGGUUUUUCAAAACACAAAAGGUUAGUCACGAAAAUGUUUGUUUUGGUUAGAAUUGUGUAUAAUCAAACAGUAAUGUUACAUUCGUUUUUCAUUCAAAGAAGAAUGACUUAAGAAUACCUCAGGAUUAUUUAAUGCCCCUUGGCUGUCACUACUUUAGGUUAUUAACUGUAAAGUUUGGCAGUGUCAAAUUAUAAAAUUAAAUUUGUUGCAUGCAGAUAAACUACUAAAAAUGAUUGAUUGAACUACUAAAAUCGAACCCAGCUCCUAGUUCAUUACUUCAUCCAUCAUCGAAUGCUGAACGUAGUGUCACCUCAAUUACUGUGGCGAGAUCUCAUUUGGGUACGAAUUAAAAAAAAAUGGUUCAUUACAUUUUUUCUUACCUUGCGGCUGGGGGUUCGCCCCCGGAGCCGCUGUAACCUUGCUGUGGGCCGUCGUGGUUGCUGAGCUGCUGCAAUCUGUAUUGGAAAUAGCCUCGCCGCUAUCACCAUUACCUUCCUGCGACCAGGCUUUACGCUGCAAUAGCAUUUUGGAAACAAAAUCGACUAAUUAAAAAAUCAUAAAUGACA